UACGGAGGGUGCAAGCGUUGCUCGGAAUUAUUGGGCGUAGAGCGUACGCAGGCGGCGCGACAAGUCGAGUGUGAAAUCCCGGGGCUCAACCCCGGACGUGCAUUCGAGACUGCCGUGCUUGAGUGCGGGAGAGGGAAGCGGAAUUCCUGGUGUAGAGGUGAAAUUCGUAGAUAUCAGGAGGAACACCGGUGGCGAAAGCGGCUUCCUGGCCCGACACUGACGCUCAUGUACGAAAGCGUGGGGAGCAAACAGG
This 253-nucleotide ribosomal RNA is filed under the name uncultured bacterium. RNAcentral's name for it is "partial 16S ribosomal RNA". It matches the Rfam family "Bacterial small subunit ribosomal RNA", at positions 524 to 776 of the family's 1533-position model. The record is from RNAcentral.